GCUAGCGUUGUUCGGAAUUACUGGGCGUAAAGCGCGCGCAGGCGGCUAUCCAAGUCAGUGGUGAAAGCCCGGAGCUCAACUCCGGAACUGCCAUUGAAACUGUUUAGCUUGAGGAUGAGAGAGGUGAGUGGAAUUCCCAGUGUAGAGGUGAAAUUCGUAGAUAUUGGGAAGAACACCGGUGGCGAAGGCGGCUCACUGGCUCAUUACUGACGCUCAGGCGCGAUAGCGUGGGGAGCAAACAGG
Molecule: ribosomal RNA, 243 nt
Filed under: uncultured bacterium
Lineage: Bacteria
Description: partial 16S ribosomal RNA
Rfam family: Bacterial small subunit ribosomal RNA
Source: RNAcentral